This is a non-coding RNA of Saimiri boliviensis boliviensis (Bolivian squirrel monkey), 5798 nucleotides long. The record is from RefSeq and is a predicted model, not a curated record. Lineage: Eukaryota; Metazoa; Chordata; Mammalia; Primates; Cebidae.
UGCUCUGUGCAUUUGUCCUUCCUGUCUGCAUUCCCAUCCUCCCUCCUUCCCUACACCUGGCAGCCUAGCUGGGGCAGUGGCCUCUCUGCGCGUUCUCUGGCCCUGCCUUGUAGAAUGAAGACGGUGGAGCCCCUGGCCCCUCCGGUCCUCCUUGGGGCCCCUCCCCUGGAGAAGCCUCGCGCUCACAGCUGUCUUCCUCAUUAUUCUCAGAAAUGGAAAGCAGGAAGCCACCUUGGUGCCUGUCCCCGAGGGUGGCUAAACCGUACAUGGUGGGGGAGGGAACGUGAGUGACCAGGACUCCUGGCCUGAAGCCAGGCUGCACCAUCGCUGACUGUGUGACCACAGGCAAGAUGCUUUCUUUUCCUUGACUUGUGUGACUCAGUUUCCUCAUGUGCUACCUCCUCCUAUGGUUCCUCUGAGGUUCAGAUGAUGAACCAGUUGGCACCGGGCCUGGCGCGGAGGCCCUGCGUGGUGGGAGCUCUGAUUACCUUCAUUUGAUGAUGGUGAUGCUGUGGCUCUGCCCUCAAGUCUCUGUGCAAACCUCUCCUUGGGGUUAUUUGCCCACAGUGUCUUCCCCAAAGGGCAGUGGGGUCAAGUGGGAUCUUGGCACCCAUUGACAGUUCACUCUGGAGUCAGGGGAAGAAGCCAGUCCCUUCCCAUACACUAGUCUCCAUAGGUCAACUGCAGCGGAGAUGCCUCGUCCACCCAGCUGUUAGGAUUCUGCCGAGGGGACAUCACUGGGCAGCCUCUCAAGGUCUCAUGGACAUUCACCAUGGCAGCUCGGGCUUUGAGCAUUCUGGACGAAUCCUGCUGGGACCCACAUCUCUCAACUACUCUGCGAGCUGCUGUUACCGUGCCGAGCACCUGGAGCUCUCUGGCCAGAGCUGGUACAACAGUGAGGCCUUGUUGUGGGCAGGAUUCCCAGCAGAGCUGCAGAUACAUGACUUGGUGAUAACCCUUACAAACAGUACCAAAGCCCGGGAGGAAUUCUAGGACCCCUCCUGGGUGAAACUGACUCCUCCACCUGAAGCCGGACCAGGGAUCUGCUCUGCCGCAAGGUAAGACUGCUAUUGUCCAUGACCUUUCCCACUGCUUGCCCCGUGGACUCCCUGCUCAUAAUCGCACUUGCAUCAGGGACUCCUUCCCGUCUCACUGUGGGCCCAGGGCCCCGGCCUCAUCUUGAGGACCUGAGUGUAGAGGAGACGUCCCUACACUCUUGUCUUCUCCCCGCGAGGGGUUUCCCAGGGUCAGGAUUCUGAGGGAGACCUCCCCACCUUCCUGAACCCUCUUGUAUCCUCUGGUGUUCGGUGGCGCGGCCCAGGAUGCUGAGCUGCUCUUCCGACCAUCCCUGCAGCAGCGGCCAAGGUUUGGGAAAUCGGAAGUUCCCGUUUGCAAACUUGGGCCCUGCCCCACAGCAGGACCAAACCCCUGGCUUUUACCACUAAAACUUUUAUCUCAAACUAGCCCUUUGGCAUACAAGCUCCCGUCUAUGAGUAACUGUACUUUUGGUUUCUCUUCCUAAUCCCGAGCGAGUGAGUGAGUGAGUUUAUGUGUAGUCCCACGGCCUGACGGCUACAGGGCUUGUGUGGCCUCCACCUGCAGUUCCACGGAGACGUCAUAAGGCAUAACGGUGAUUCGCCUCAGGAAACUGAAGGUGACCAGGCCCGCGGGUUAUACGGGUACACCUUGGCCAAGACGCCCUGAAACAUCCGUUCGGGGACCUGGCCGGGAAGACAUCAGACUGGUCUCCCUCUCAGGGGCAGCCACCCUUUGUCCGUUAAUCCUAUAUGCGGUUCUGUCUUUACUGUAAAUUCGCUAGCUUCGUUAGGCUCCUACUAGCUGAGAUACAGUGGUCCUGGCCUGCUUCCCUCGAAAUAGCAGAUAUUCUGCAGUGGGUAUAACACCUUCCAGUGUCCCCACCUCACCCCUAGUUAACUGCAGAAAUAUGGGUAAUCAGAAAUCUCACCCAGACCCCAAGUCGCCACUAGGAUGUCUAGCCAAAAAUCUACCCAAACUGGGUCUUUCUAUAAAAAAGAAAAGGCUACUCUUCUUCUUCUCCACGGUGGCCUGGCCACAGUACCCUCUGGGCAACCAGUCUCAAUGGCCUCCAGAGGGCACACUCGACUUUAAUGUCCUGAUAGACCUGGAUAACUUUUGCCAAAGGAAUGGCAAGUGGGUGGAAGUUCCCUAUAUUCAGGCUCUUUGGCAUCUCUGCUCCCCACCUGACCUCUGCUCCUCCUGUAAUACUGCCCAGGUGCUCCUAGCAAAAAACUCCCCCCAACUCCCUCCAGCCCCUUCGCCAACCCCUCCUGCUCCUCCUCUUCUGAGUUCCAACCUGACCUCUCCUGUUAGUGCCCGCACUUGCUUGCACUGGGCUUCCAAUGAUGAAACCUCUCUCCUCUGUCCUCUCUGCGAGGUGGCUGGAGAGGAGGGCAUUGUCCGAGUGCAUGUCCCCUUCUCCCUCUCUGAUCUAUCGACCAUUGAAAAGCGCCUAGGGUCAUUCUCCACCAAUCCUGCUGCUUACACCAAAGAAUUUUGUUACCUCACCCAGGUGUACAACCUUACCUGGCAUGACACCUACGUAAUCCUGUACUCUACCCUUACUCCAGAUAAGCGUGACUGCAUUCUCAUAGAGGCCCGAACACACGCUGAUCAGGUACAUAUCACAAACAAAUGCCGGCAGGUGUGGCAGCGGUACCCGAGGCCGACCCUAAUUGGGAUUAUCAAACUGGUCAAGAUGGCCGCCACCACCGAGACCAAAUGCUACAGUGCCUCCUAGCAGGCAUGCAAAGCGCAGCUCGGAAGGUAGUUAAUUAUGACAAGUUAAGGGAAGUAACUCAGGGUCCUGAUAAAAACCCAGCUGCCUUCCUUAACCGAUUAAUUAACACUAUGAUCCUCCAUACCUGGCUGGAUCCGGUCUCCCUAGUGGGGGCUACAGUCCUAGUCACCCACUUCAUCUCCCAGUCAGUGGCUGAUAUAAGGAGGAAACUUAAAAACGCUGAGGAGGGCCCCCAAACUCCCAUGUGGGACCUGGUAAACCUGGCAUUUAAAGUUUUUAAUGGCCGAGAGGAAAAAGCUGAGGCCACCCGUCAGGCCCGGCUGCAGCAGAAAGUAAGCCUCCAAACCUGAGCUCUUGUAGCAGCCCUGAGGCCUGCAGCCUACCGAGCACCCAGUGGAGGGGGCCCAUCGAAACCCUUCCAAAACUCUUUUAAGGCCCCACCUGGGCCCUGUUUUAAAUGUGGCCAGGAGGGACACUGGGAGCGGCAGUGCCCCUGUCCUCGUCAUCCUCCUGGCCCUUGCCCAAGCUGCAAACAAGCUAGACACUGGAAGGUUGACUGCCCAUCCCGGACUACAGGCUCACCCCCCACACCUCUAUGUGAGGGGCAAGCCUGUCCACAGGAAGCAGUCCCUUCACUUGAACUUCUCGGCCUUGUGAAUGACUGAUGGAGCCCAGACUCGAGGACCCCUAUCACCCUCGCCGAGCCCAGGGUAACGCUGCAGGUAGCGGGUAAGUCCAUUUCCUUCUUAGUGCCUACGGGGGCUACCUAUUCUGUAUUGCCUUCCUACUCAGGACCUAGCAUACCUUCCCAGGUUUCAGUCAUGGGAAUUAAUGGAAAGCCUUCCUGUUCUAACCAAACUCAUCCCUUAGCCUGUGUCCUUGAGGGACAUCCCUUCUCCCACUCCUUUCUAAUCAUACCCUCAUGCCCAGUCCCCCUUUUAGGAUGAGAUAUUCUCCAAACUGUGGGGGCCACUCUCCAACUCACUGGCACCCCACACUCAAGCCCAUCACCAGCCCACCUCCUCUUGCCACUCUGAACCGACACCACACCCUGUCUUAACCCUUCGCCUGAACCCCCUAUUCCUCCUGAGGUAGUCAAUCCCUCGGUAUGGGGUACCUCCAAGUCCGUAGUGGCCAGACAUCAUAUGCCAGUUAAGAUACUUCUAAAAAAAAUCCUACCCACUUCCCCUCACAUCCUGUUUUCCAUCUCAAAAACCCACCGUCAGGGCCUAAAGCCUAUCAUUACCCGACUCCUAGCCCAAGGACUCCUAAUCCCCACCAGUUCCCCCUGUAAUACUCCUAUCUUGCCAGUCCAGAAGCCAUCCGGUGACUACCGCCUAGUUCAGGACCUACGCCUUAUCAACGAGGCAGUGGUACCCGUCCACCCUGCGGUCCCCAACCCAUAUACCCUAUUAUCCAGCAUUCCCUCCACUACCUCCCAUUUUAGUUCUUGACCUCAAGGAUGCCUUCUUUACCAUUCUCCUACAGCCUGAGUCUUACUUUCUCUUUGCCUUCACCAGGACUGAUCCAGACACCAACCUGUCGCAACAGCUCACCUGGACGGUCCUGCCCCAGGGAUUCAGAGACGGCCCCUGUAUUUUCAGACAAGCCUUGGCAGCUGAUCUUAGCUCCUGUCCCCUUCAGCCCAGUCUCCUUCUUCAGCCCUAUCACUGCCCAAAGAAGUCGCUGUCAUCCACCGCCGAGGGCACCAGGCCCAGCAGAUAUCUUUCUUGGAUGGAUUGAAGCCUUUCCCACCUCCAGGGAAACCGCGGACAAGGUGGCCUCCCUCUUGACUCAGGAAAUCAUCCCUCGUUUCGGCUUACCUGCAAACAUCCAGUCAGACAACGGUCCAGCAUUUACAACUCAGGUGGUCCAGCUGGUCACCAAGUCUCUCAACAUCUCCUGGAAACUACACAUCCCCUACCACCCUCAGUCACUGGCUAAAGUGGAAAGGGCUCACGGCAUCCUCAAAGGUCAUUUAGCCAAACUUACCAUCGAGGUAAAACCCUCUUGGCCCAUACUCCUGCCCCUUGCCCUGGCCUGGGUCCGAGCCACGACAUGGGGACCAACGGGCCUCAGCCCCUUUGAAUGGCUGUACUGAAGACCUUUCCUGGUCUCUCAUAAUCUCCCGAUACAACCACCUCCUCGAGCCUCCUCCUUCCCCUACCUCUCUCUCCUCCGCCACUUACUUAGGGAACAUGCGGAUCAUGCUCUCCCCAUUGUCCCGGGACCAGAGGACCCCCAUCCAGCGGCACUCCUCCAGCCAGGUGACAGUGUUCUCCUCCGGGAGCUCAAACCAGGAUCUCUACAGCCUAGGGAUCUUGGACGGAAGGCGCCACCACUAGAACCCAAUACAUUGCUGCUAUUACAUCAACGAAACCAGUCUAGUAGAAGAGAAUGUCAGCACUCUCUAUCACCUCCAAGACGACCUCCGAAGAAAACAAAAUGUACCAGGCUCUUCUCUUACCUGGUGGCAUUCCCCCAUGCUCACCUGGCUGGCUCCUAUUAUCAUCCCCAUUAUCAUUGUUUGUCUUUUGCUAAUGCUAGCCCUUUUUGUCCUCAGGUUUCUAUAAGCUCGUAUAAGGGAAUUUUCCAGGGUGGCCGUAAACCAGAUGCUGCUUCACCUCUAUGUCCAACUCCCAACCGAGGCACCAGCCAACUGACCCUUCCCCCUCACUCCACCCCUAUUCAGCAGGAAGUAGCCAGAAAGAAGCGGAGUCUUAUAUCAUCAAAAGGGUCGGAAUAUAAGGCCAGUUGUCUCGCCAGGAGCUUGGACACACCCACUUCUGCACUUGGCACCUAGCCUGCCUUGGAAAACCCCUCUGCACUCAGCACUAAGCUCUGCACUCAGCAACUAGCCUGCCAUUGGAAAAUCCCGCCUACCUACCAAUAGCAGCCUGCCCCAAUCACGCCGUUUCCCUGCAACCAAACACCUUCACUCCCUAUAAAACCCCAUGCCCAGAAGAGUCAGGUGUGACUUCCCUGGCCUCUUUCCCCGGGACCACAGAACCUCACCCGG